This is a non-coding RNA of Lolium perenne, 2557 nucleotides long. The record is from RefSeq and is a predicted model, not a curated record. Lineage: Eukaryota; Viridiplantae; Streptophyta; Magnoliopsida; Poales; Poaceae.
UCGUCGCCAUCGGGGCUGCUGGUGCCAGGUGAGGCAGGGUACUCGCGGCCAGGAGUCCCUCUCCCAUCCAUCCCCCAAUCUGCCGCUAAUCCUCAUGCGUGGCCACCGGUCAGAUUUCUCGCCGCUGGCAAAGCUUUCUUGGCCGCCGCAGAUUCUUCUUACCACUAGCAUGUGCUCCCCGCGCUGCUGCUACUCCCGCCACCACUAGGGAUACCCGCCGCCCAGUUCUGAGGGAGCUGGCCAUCUCCCUCCGAAACACCAAUUCUCCAAAAAAAAAAGCAGAGCUCGACAGGAUCUCCCCCAUCCCCGGCCACCCAUCGAUAUCCGGCGAGCGACGCCACCCCACUCAUCCAGAUGGAGGAACGGGACCAUCCGCCGCCGAUCUAUCUCUGCCCCCCAAGAUCCGGCCCGUCUACGGCCGUGCCCCUCUGACCUGACAGGGUCGCCGCCCCGACGGGCGAGCGCGGAGGUGGACGGGCGUGGAGGCGUGUCGUCUGGCGCCGUCUCCGCCACCCGGUUAGCCCGGUUGGUCGCCGUACUGCUUAGCCGGGGUGGAUACCCAUUGUCGGCACGACUGUUUGCGCCGGACGCGAAUGGUUUGCUGUGCUUCAACUGAUUCCUACAAGAGCCAUCGUUCUUAAUCUGUUGCUGUCGUCGGCUGUAGCGCCAACGCCUUCCACUGACCUCUUGCUGUUUUGCAUGUACACAUGUUGGAGAAGGCUGGUGCUGGUACUUCCCCUGCUCCACACUUUUCUGCUCAGCUCCAAGAUGUUUGCGAUUCAAUCUGGUGUGCUAUUCCUUCUGAUACCAUAAUAUCCAAUUGUGGGUAUAUGUAUGAUUCCUUUGAGAUCGUUGAAUCAGGUCAUUAGACUAUUUGUGUUGCUACUCUUUGCUUAAAUAUGCAUUGGAAUAUUUUGGAAUGUCUGAUCUGGAUCAUGAACUUAGGUAUUUGUCCCUCCAUCAUUUCAUUUUCUCAAGUUAUGCAAAUUGUCCAAAUGUUGUGCUUAUAUUUCUCUGACAUCUUGAACUAUGUCGCUUUGUAACAUCCUAAAUUGUUUGUCUUCAUAAUACAUUUCUUUCAUUGGAAAAGGAUGCGGAAGAGUAAGCUGAAGUCAAAUCAAAGAUAAAAGAGAAGGAAAAUGCUACUGUCUUUAGCAUAUCAACCGGAUAGAGUUUAGUAAGCACAAAAUGUGCUUUUCUUACAACACAUAUGCAUUGCCAAAAUAUUACGACCCCUUUGAUUCUCAAGAUUCAAAAUUUCCGCAGGAAUGCGGAGGAAGCAAGGGGAGCGGAUCAACAACUCAACGAGUCUGUCGUGGAGGUCACGAGGAACCCUUAUGAAGGACAUGGACGACAUAUGUCAUGCUCACAAAUGCAAGGUGACCAGCACUAUGGUUUGGGUCAGUGUGGUCGACAAGAUCCUAGAGCACCCUGUCGCUAGCGGGGCUUCUCCGAGUGAUCCGGGGAGAGCGAGCCAUGGAACUCGGCGCUAGGUGCGGCCUCAUGGGAGUGGCAGGACUCAAAUCUAAUGUAUCCACUCUCAUCUCUCAAGGCAGAGCAUCAAUCCAGUAGUCGUAGACGACUCACACCAGCGCAGGUUUGUAGUGGCCGAGAUAAGGUCAUCACCUAAGGCCGUGAAGGCGCUAAUCAUCGUGGGAGAUACCGGUGGCGCCGGUGUUAUAAUCUACCCGUAGCAACGGGUGAAUCCAUGUUUACGUAUAAAUCAAAUGUUGUUACCUGAUUUUUUUUUACCAUGCUUGGAUAACUAGAAUUUUUUUUAUAAAAUUCUCCUGUUGUAGGCACGUGGUUCACUUGAACUGAAGGUGUAAUCUGCCAUUGCAUUUACGACAAAGUAUUUUCUCUGAAGAAAUUUGACUAGCUUAACUUAAUUUUAUCUCUGAUGUUACUGAAUGAACUACUCCUAGCAUUUUUUGGGUUUUUACUAAUCUCAUGCUUGUUACCUUUGAUUGUCAUGACAAACCUGCAAUCUACAUAUGUUUAUAGGGGCUUCCAGAGGGAGGAAGAUCUGGAGUUGGCUGGAAUCCUGGAUCCGUCGGUGGGCUCAUGGGGGCUAGAUGGGGCUGAGGGACAAGAAGAGGAACCAGAGGCGCGUGCUCUCGCGACACUCAGCUGGUCCCAAGACCGGUGAGGAAGGAUUUUCCUGUCGCGUGCUUCCCUUUGAACCAAAUCGAGGAGCCGGAGAACAUGGCCACCGUCCUGUAUAUCAGGCACAUCCCCCACGGCUUCUACCAGGAUCAGAUGCAAAGGGAAGCCGUGCGCGUUUGAGAACCCUGAGAUUCCGGCACAGGCACAAAACCUGAGCAAUCCUUUGCCGACUAUUCGCAUAUAGUACUCUUCCAGAUUAAACACGGGACCAAAUUCCAGUAGGUGUGUCUCGGCUUGACCGGCAAGCACGGUAUGAGUUCUUGAUGUGUUGUUUUCUAUCUUUUGGUAACCAGAAAAUUCUAGGUGUAUUUAGAUGAGAAAUUUUGUACCUCCCGUUAACAUAAACUGAUUUUGAGUAGUGAAAAAAUUCUCCAAGUCUAGAAAAUAUUCA